GGGGGUGUUGGGGGGCGUAGAGUUUUUACAGCCCAAUAACAGAAGAGAGCCUUGCAAUGAGGAAUGGCCAUUUUCCACAAGAAGAUCAUGGGAAAGUCUGCCUAUAUCAAUCAGAUUCAAGUUGGCUGGGAAUUGUAGAGUAAAUUUUAGAGAGGGCUGGGUUUCAUGCCUUUUUUUUUUUUUUUUUUGAUAGGAAGACUGAAACUUUUAUUACGUAAAGGAUAAGUACAUAGAAAGAUUCAAUUAUUGGUGGACUUUCCUCCUAGCAAGUUACAAAACCAUGGAUACCCUUUGCAUGUUGUGCCAAGGCAUGUGCGGAUUUUAUUUCCCUGUCGAGUGUCGCCUCACAUGUUGGACUUUGACGCUACUAAAAUCAUGCAACUUCUGCUGGAUGCUCUCAAGGACGUCAAUCACCGUAGCUGGUGGAAUGGUGGAGCCCGACAGAGCAGUGAAAAUCACGUGGAAGUCAGUUUCAAAAAUAACUUUUUGUACGCCAACAUCCCAUCCCAUGCAAACGAAACCGCUACGUCCAUCGCCUUUGCUUCAGCCUCCAACCAAGGGACCCAACGGCAAAGUGCAGAUGCUGACUGAGGGCUGCGAUCACUGUUCCUGCAUGGUCCCGAAUCACUGUACCGAUGCCCACUGUGCCGAGAUUCUUGAACCACGGAUUUGAAGGAGGAACUUUCAUGCCUUUUUAGUCAUGAUAAUAAUGUUCUGAAAAAUUCUGCUAAUAAAAUAUAAGGAUAUAUUUCUGAAAAUUUUUAAGAGAAAAUAUAGGGACACAAUUUUAUUUUA
Molecule: long non-coding RNA, 795 nt
Organism: Quercus robur (English oak)
Lineage: Eukaryota; Viridiplantae; Streptophyta; Magnoliopsida; Fagales; Fagaceae
Exons: 2
Source: RefSeq, a predicted model, not a curated record